RNAcentral lists this ribosomal RNA (253 nucleotides) under uncultured bacterium. RNAcentral's name for it is "partial 16S ribosomal RNA". It matches the Rfam family "Bacterial small subunit ribosomal RNA", at positions 524 to 776 of the family's 1533-position model. The record is from RNAcentral.
GACGAACCGUGCGAACGUUGUUCGGAAUCACUGGGCUUAAAGGGCGCGUAGGCGGGUGAUCAAGUCAGGGGUGAAAUCCUUCCGCUCAACGGGAGAACAGCUUCUGAUACUGGUCAUCUUGAGGGGGGUAGGGGCAUGUGGAACUUCCGGUGGAGCGGUGAAAUGCGUAGAUAUCGGAAGGAACGCCGGUGGCGAAAGCGACGUGCUGGACCCUUUCUGACGCUGAGGCGCGAAAGCCAGGGGAGCAAACGGG